Molecule: small nuclear RNA, 101 nt
Filed under: Rhinolophus ferrumequinum (greater horseshoe bat)
Lineage: Eukaryota; Metazoa; Chordata; Mammalia; Chiroptera; Rhinolophidae
Source: RNAcentral
GUGCUCAUCCAGUAGCACAUAUACUAAAAUCAUAACAGAGCAGAUUAACAUUGCCCCUGCAUAAGGAUGAGGCACAAAUUCCUGAAGUGUUCCAUAUUAAA